GUUGUUGCAAUGGUAAUCCUGCUCAGUACGAGAGGAACCGCAGGUUCGGACAUUAGGCACACGUGCUUGUUCGAGCGACCAAUGGUGCGAAGCUACCAUCCGUGGGACUAUGACUGAACACCUCUAAGUCAGCAUCCCUUCCAGAUCUGCAACGAU
RNAcentral lists this non-coding RNA (156 nucleotides) under Hypsibius dujardini. Its description in RNAcentral is "Eukaryotic large subunit ribosomal RNA". It matches the Rfam family "Eukaryotic large subunit ribosomal RNA", at positions 3007 to 3161 of the family's 3401-position model. Lineage: Eukaryota; Metazoa; Tardigrada; Eutardigrada; Parachela; Hypsibiidae. The record is from Rfam by way of RNAcentral.